CGCAAGCCUGACGGAGCAACGCCGCGUGAGGGAGGAAGGCCUGUGGGUUGUAAACCUCUUUUCUCAGGGAAGAAGCUCUGACGGUACCUGAGGAAUCAGCAUCGGCUAACUCCGUGCCAGCAGCCGCGGUAAGACGGAGGAUGCAAGCGUUAUCCGGAAUUAUUGGGCGUAAAGCGUCCGCAGGUGGCGAUUCAAGUCUGCUGUCAAAGCACGGGGCUUAACUCCGUUAAGGCAGUGGAAACUGAAUGGCUAGAGUGCCGUAGGGGUAGAGGGAAUUCCCGGUGUAGCGGUGAAAUGCGUAGAGAUCGGGAAGAACAUCGGUGGCGAAAGCGCUCUACUGGGCCGUGACUGACACUGAGGGACGAAAGCUAGGGGAGCG
RNAcentral lists this ribosomal RNA (379 nucleotides) under uncultured cyanobacterium. Its description in RNAcentral is "bacterial SSU rRNA". It matches the Rfam family "Bacterial small subunit ribosomal RNA", at positions 376 to 770 of the family's 1533-position model. Lineage: Bacteria; Bacillati; Cyanobacteriota. The record is from RNAcentral.